GUCUUCAAACUGGAUUUUGCUAAGGCGUUCGAAUCCAUCGCCUGGCCAAGCCUUCGCCGGAUCAUGGAGGUCCGGGGGUUCCCGGCUCUCUGGUGCGAUUGGAUGGACCUCAUCCUCCGUUCCUCAAAAGCCGCGGUUCUUCUCAACAGCGUGCCGGGGCGCUGGUUCGCGGUUCGGAAAGGGCUGCGCCAGGGAGACCCCAUCUCCCCGUACCUGUUCCUCCUGGUCGCGGACGUUCUCCAGCGCAUGAUCAGGGGCGAUGGGCCUCUCCCUUACCCCCUGGUGGUGGGGGCGCCGGCAGUGGACCUCCAGUACGCGUUCGACACGUUGAUCAUCAUGUGUGCUGACCCCGCGGCUGCGGCGCGGCUUCGUGUCAUCCUCGACCUCUUUGCGGCGGCUACCGGCCUCGUCAUCAACUUCUCCAAAAGCAUGCUCGUCCCGAUGCACGUCGAGCACAAGGUUCUCGCCUCUGUUCUGGCGUCCUUUGAGUGCACGGUGGGUUCCUUCCCAUAG
RNAcentral lists this ribosomal RNA (513 nucleotides) under Triticum aestivum (bread wheat). RNAcentral's name for it is "partial small subunit ribosomal RNA". Lineage: Eukaryota; Viridiplantae; Streptophyta; Magnoliopsida; Poales; Poaceae. The record is from RNAcentral.